AUGGCUUUCAUCAUCUUCUUUACAAUUUUGAGCAAUAAAGAAUAAGACAUGAACAAACCACUUUAGAGGUGCCAGUUUAGCUUCAAUAGUAUUUCUGGCUCUCUAACUAUUUCAGAUCAAAUGUCAAAUGGCACCAGACAGAAAAUGUGGCAGCUUUGGGCAUCACUUUUUGAUCCAAACAAUGACCGUCAGACUAUCUUCUAAAUAAAUUUCCACUGCCCCUUACUUACCUCUUUACCAUCCCCACUUUCAACCCCCAAAAGACGCGAGAGAGGGAGAGAGAGAAGCACAUGCUGCACACAAUCUUUCACAGCCAUUCUUAGACGAUGCACCACUGCCAAGCAGCAACUUAUAAUUUAUGGAAAGUAGUUAACCUUUCAGAAGUUUUAGAAAACAAACUAGCUCAAACUUGCCAAUGCAUUGACAAGGAAUCGCGGCAGUGGAAUCAUGGCAUGGUUAAACGCUACGUCCACUUCUUCGUGAUAUUCAUGCUGUUGGGGUAUUCCUGCUUUUCACUGGUUUCCUUUUUCCAUUAGCUGGCUGUUGAUCAAUGAGCAAAAGUUAGGAAAUGAUUCUCUUCCAUCUUUUUCUUUUUCCUUCAAACAACUUCACUUCCCUCUGUGAUCAGCAACCGUCAAAGAUUGGACCUGGAUAAAUUUGAAGUGUUGAUGGAGCUUAUUCUCAUACAAAUGCAACAGAUUCGUUCAUAGGAUAAAUUACGAUAGCUAUGCUUAAAUUAAAGUGUAGAAAUUAAAUCAAAACUUUUUUUAUUAAUCUAAGUGCUGAAAGUUGAAACUUUUUUUAUCUCUGUGUCUCUCUCACAGACACACUCUUUGAAACUGCACAAGCCAGAGAUAUUGAUUCCAAAUCAGACUAAUUUCGAUACUAAGAUUCAAAGCCACCUGUUCAUGAUGCAAAUCUAAAGAACACAGUUACGUUCUAAAUGCUUAAGAUUUUCUGGUAAUACAUCCUUUUAUCUGGUAAUAAUUCCUUUCAUCAAGUCUAAAAUGCCUUCAUCAUUUCAUCCACCCCCAGAAACUCUCAGCAUCUUUUUGCAAAAUCAGUGACGUGAAAUUAAGAAUCCAUGAAAAAUCUCAAAGCAAAUCAGUACUGAAGAUUACACACACAUAAAUAGUAUUUGCCAGAACCAUUUAACAGGGUUCAUCUUCAUGAAUUAAAGAAUAUAUUCGAACUUCAACACGUAGAAAUUUUUUCGUUUUGGCUUCUUUAUGUGUGUGAAGGUGUCAAAAGAAGAUGGCUAAUGGUCAGCUCUGAAGUAGAACUAGUUCACAUAGUUUAGAGCAUACAAUGAGACCAUGUUAAACAAAAGCCCUGGCGAAAAGCAGAGAUAAGCACGAGCAAACUCAUACAUCUAGAUGGUACAAAAUAGAAAAAGGAAAACUGAAAUUAAGAUUCUUGUGUUUCAAGCUGGCAUUAACCAAUGUACAGGUAUUGCAUUGCCUAUGCUGCAAUACAUAAAAGAAAGUCUCUGUCAUUCAGCUAGUUGAUUUAAGAAAAGAAACCAAGUUUGCAUUGCCUUUGCUGCAAUACAUAAAAGAAAUUGAAAAAUAUACCUGUCAUUUGUGCUUGUGCUCAGCUGGUUUUAAGGAUCAUACACAUCUGAAACUAAU
RNAcentral lists this long non-coding RNA (1631 nucleotides) under Coffea arabica (coffee). RNAcentral describes it as "long non-coding RNA (CARA_LNC005151)". The record is from RNAcentral. Lineage: Eukaryota; Viridiplantae; Streptophyta; Magnoliopsida; Gentianales; Rubiaceae.